This 485-nucleotide ribosomal RNA is filed under the name uncultured bacterium. RNAcentral's name for it is "partial 16S ribosomal RNA". It matches the Rfam family "Bacterial small subunit ribosomal RNA", at positions 28 to 507 of the family's 1533-position model. The record is from RNAcentral.
GAUGAACGCUAGCGAUAGGCUUAACACAUGCAAGUCGAGGGGCAGCGAGGGUAGCAAUACCUGUCGGCGACCGGCGCACGGGUGAGUAACGCGUAUGUAACCUGCCCGCAACAGGGGGAUAACCCGGCGAAAGUCGGACUAAUACCGCAUAAAACAGGGGUCCCGCAUGGGAAUAUUUGUUAAAGAUUUAUCGGUUGCGGAUGGGCAUGCGUACCAUUAGGUAGUUGGUGAGGUAACGGCUCACCAAGCCUUCGAUGGUUAGGGGUUCUGAGAGGAAGGUCCCCGAGACGGGGACCGAGACACGUGCGAGACUCCUACGGGAGGCAGCAGUGAGGAAUAUAGGUCAAGGGGCGAGAGCCUGAACCAGCCAAGUCGCGUGAAGGAUGACUGCGCUAGGGGUGGUAAACUUCUUGUACAAGGGAAUAAAAUGAGAUACGUGUAUUUUAUUGCAGGUACCGUGUGAAUAAGCAUCGGCUAACUCCGUG